GAUACACCCUUAUGGAGCAGGACUUGCUUCAGUGGGACUUUAGUGCUCACAGGUUCUGCCCCUUGAGUGUGUCACU
RNAcentral lists this microRNA precursor (76 nucleotides) under Myotis myotis. RNAcentral describes it as "mir-9229 microRNA precursor family". It matches the Rfam family "mir-9229 microRNA precursor family". Lineage: Eukaryota; Metazoa; Chordata; Mammalia; Chiroptera; Vespertilionidae. The record is from Rfam by way of RNAcentral. RNAcentral also lists the same sequence under 1 other name.